This 496-nucleotide ribosomal RNA is filed under the name uncultured Glomus. RNAcentral describes it as "SSU rRNA". It matches the Rfam family "Eukaryotic small subunit ribosomal RNA", at positions 591 to 1092 of the family's 1831-position model. Lineage: Eukaryota; Fungi; Glomeromycota; Glomeromycetes; Glomerales; Glomeraceae. The record is from RNAcentral.
CCAAUAGCGUAUAUUAAAGUUGUUGCAGUUAAAAAGCUCGUAGUUGAAUUUCGGGGUCAGUAGGUCGGUCGUGCCACUGGUAUGCACUGGUCUCACUGAUUCCUCCUUCUUGAAGAACCGUAAUGUCAUUAACUUGGUGUUGCGGGGAAACAGGACUGUUACCUUGAAAAAAUUAGAGUGUUUAAAGCAGGCCAGCGCCUGAAUACAUUAGCAUGGAAUAAUGAAAUAGGACGUUCGAUCCUAUUUUGUUGGUUUCUAGGAUUGACGUAAUGAUUAAUAGGAAUAGUUGGGGGCAUUAGUAUUCAAUUGUCAGAGGUGAAAUUCUUGGAUUUAUUGAAGACUAACUACUGCGAAAGCAAUUGCCAAGAAUGUCUUCAUUAAUCAAGAACGAAAGUCAGGGGAUCGAAGGCGAUUAGAUACCGCCGUAGUCCUGACCGUAAACGAUGCUAACUAGCGAUCUGUCGGCGCCCGGCUAGGGCCCGAUAGGGAGCUUGCG